CAGCAGUUCUACCUAACCCGAUAGGGGCUGGGUAAUCUUCAUAAUACGCACCGUGCUUGGGAUUGAUCUUUGCAAUUAUGGAUCAUGAACGAGGAAUUCCUAGUAAGUGCAAGUCAUCAUCUUGUACUGAUUACGU
RNAcentral lists this ribosomal RNA (136 nucleotides) under uncultured eukaryote. RNAcentral's name for it is "partial 18S ribosomal RNA". It matches the Rfam family "Eukaryotic small subunit ribosomal RNA", at positions 1513 to 1650 of the family's 1831-position model. The record is from RNAcentral.